RNAcentral lists this ribosomal RNA (253 nucleotides) under uncultured bacterium. Its description in RNAcentral is "partial 16S ribosomal RNA". It matches the Rfam family "Bacterial small subunit ribosomal RNA", at positions 524 to 776 of the family's 1533-position model. The record is from RNAcentral.
UACGUAGGGUGCGAGCGUUGUCCGGAAUUACUGGGCGUAAAGAGCUCGUAGGUGGUUUGUCGCGUUGUUCGUGAAAUCUCACGGCUUAACUGUGAGCGUGCGGGCGAUACGGGCAGACUGGAGUACUGCAGGGGAGACUGGAAUUCCUGGUGUAGCGGUGGAAUGCGCAGAUAUCAGGAGGAACACCGGUGGCGAAGGCGGGUCUCUGGGCAGUAACUGACGCUGAGGUGCGAAAGCGUGGGGAGCAAACAGG